This 443-nucleotide ribosomal RNA is filed under the name uncultured bacterium. RNAcentral's name for it is "bacterial SSU rRNA". It matches the Rfam family "Bacterial small subunit ribosomal RNA", at positions 327 to 793 of the family's 1533-position model. The record is from RNAcentral.
AGCAGAGCACUCCUCGGGAGGCAGCAGUGGGGAAUCUUGGACAAUGGGGCAACCCUGAUCCAGCCAUGCCGCGUGAGUGAUGAAGGCCCUAGGGUCGUAAAGCUCUUUCGCCUGUGAAGAUAAUGACUGUAGCAGGUAAAGAAACCCCGGCUAACUCCGUGCCAGCAGCCGCGGUGAAUAGCGGAGGGGUUAGCGUUGUUCGGAAUUACUGGCGUAAAGCGCGCGUAGGCGGACUGAAAGUUCGGGGUGAAUCCGGGGCUCAACCCGGAACUGCCUCCAAAACUAUCAGUCUAGAGUUCGAGAGAGGUGAGUGGAAUUCCGAGUGUAGAGGUGAAAUUCGUAGAUAUUCGGAGGAACACCAGUGGCGAAGGCGGCUCACUGGCUCGAUACUGACGCUGAGGUGCGAAAGUGUGGGGAGCAAACAGGAUUAGAUACCCUGGUAG